RNAcentral lists this long non-coding RNA (484 nucleotides) under Anas platyrhynchos platyrhynchos (common mallard). RNAcentral describes it as "lncRNA (ENSAPLG00000025416.1)". Lineage: Eukaryota; Metazoa; Chordata; Aves; Anseriformes; Anatidae. The record is from RNAcentral.
AUGCAUCAUGAAAAACCUGAUCUGUUAAUAAAAAAUAACGAUGUGGCAGUGAAAGCACAAAGAAGAGAUAACAAUUCCCUGGAGCAGCCGCUGGAUUCAGAGCAGAGACCAAGUCAAAACCCAGAAGCGUUCCAAAGGCCUGGGCAAAGUGAUGCACGUGGUUUUAAGAAUCCACACUUUAGCCCUAAGUACCUGAAGUCGUGGAAGACCACCACCAUUCAACAAAUCAGCAUGAGGAUCAAGAACGUGGGUCACGGGAUUUCACCAGCAACGAUUGCUUGGAACAAGCUCUGAGCAGCAGGACAGCAGCGCUGGAGGAUCCCAGGACCCGAGCACAAAGCAGCAGGGACAGAAGGGAAGAUGAGAUGACACGCUGCAAGCAGGGAGGGCAGAAAGGACUAGAACAGGUGAUCCCCAGUAGGCAAGGUAAGAGGAGACGUGAAAAGGAGACAGAAUUAAAAUAAAUCCAGCUCACGUAGAGACA